RNAcentral lists this ribosomal RNA (446 nucleotides) under uncultured bacterium. RNAcentral's name for it is "partial 16S ribosomal RNA". It matches the Rfam family "Bacterial small subunit ribosomal RNA", at positions 329 to 792 of the family's 1533-position model. The record is from RNAcentral.
UGCCAGACUCCUACGGGAGGCAGCAGUGGGGAAUAUUGCACAAUGGGGGAAACCCUGAUGCAGCGACGCCGCGUGAGCGAUGAAGUAUUUCGGUAUGUAAAGCUCUAUCAGCAGGGAAGAAAAUGACGGUACCUGACUAAGAAGCCCCGGCUAACUACGUGCCAGCAGCCGCGGUAAUACGUAGGGGGCAAGCGUUAUCCGGAUUUACUGGGUGUAAAGGGAGCGUAGACGGUCCUGCAAGCCAGAUGUGAAAGCCCGGGGCUCAACCCCGGGACUGCAUUUGGAACUGUAAGGCUAGAGUGUCGGAGAGGCAGGCGGAAUUCCUAGUGUAGCGGUGAAAUGCGUAGAUAUCACGCAGAACUCCGAUUGCGAAGGCAGCAUACCGGCGCCCGACUGACGCUGAGGCACGAAAGCGUGGGGAUCGAACAGGAUUAGAUACCCGGGUA